RNAcentral lists this long non-coding RNA (341 nucleotides) under Homo sapiens (human). RNAcentral describes it as "non-protein coding lnc-ARL4A-54:9". The record is from RNAcentral. Lineage: Eukaryota; Metazoa; Chordata; Mammalia; Primates; Hominidae.
UUUAACAAUAAGUAGUUGUAGAUUCCUAAAUGGUGGCCUAAAGCAGGUUGAGAAAGGGAUGCAUAGUUAGAAGUAGAAUAAUAGUUUACUGAUGACCUUCAUUAAGUCUUUACUCUUUUCUCAGCAAAGCUAGAGGAAACCAAAGUCAUAGAACAUCUGAACUCUGUCCAAACAUCGGUCGUAUUUCAAAAUUUCAGCCACCAUCCCGCAGCCAACGAUAAUAUCUGACACUUCCUGACAUCAUGAAAGCCACCAUCUGUCUAUCACCAAAACCCUGUACUUUUUAAAGACUACUUGGCUUGAUCCUUAAUGAAGCUUCAAGUUGAAUGCACAGAUCGCUU